Molecule: long non-coding RNA, 6992 nt
Filed under: Citrus x clementina
Lineage: Eukaryota; Viridiplantae; Streptophyta; Magnoliopsida; Sapindales; Rutaceae
Description: Citrus clementina (C. clementina) long non-coding RNA (CCLE_LNC004030)
Source: RNAcentral
UUAAAACUUAAAUCUCAUGACAGAGAAUGUGAAUCAUUAAUUUAUGAUGGAUUUUGAAGAAACGCACCAAAUUUAAAUUAGUCGUUAAAAUUUUCAAUUAAUUACUAAAAGCCUUGUAAAACGACGUCACUUGGUCCGCGACAUAUGUGUGGACCAAGCAACAUAUGCGUGGUAGAUAUAAGUUGUCGCAGGAACAUGUGAUAGCAGUGCCACAAAUUUAUCUCAGAGGCUACAAUGACAUAUAAAGAUUUUUUCAUAAAAGGGGUCAAAUGAUAGAUAUUCCGCACGAGAGAGGCUUCCAUCACCAACGCCACUUUCUGUUGCACUAGCCACCCACCACAACGAUACACUAUUAAAAUUUUACAUUUUAUUGAAUUCAAUUAGUCAUUUUGAAUUUCUUAUUAUAAUGCCAAAUUAGAACCCAACAAUUUCAACAGAUCAAAAUGAUGCUUCUCGUGUACUUAUACCUUAGAGAUCAGUUUAUUUUUUGUUUUUUUUUUUUUUACGAAUAGGCUUUCUUACUGUUUUUCUAUUGUCUUUGAGUGAAUCUGCAUUCUUGCAUUUGUUGAAAUUUCAUUGGAUGACACUUCAAUUUAAUCUCUUGCACUUGGAGAGAAUUAAAAUUGCUUUGAUAGGAACAUAAAUUUCAUCCUCCAUAAUUUGAAUUUGAAAUAACAAUAAAUUAAAGAACGAUGUUAAUUUCGAUCUAAAGAAGCAAAUAUGUUUUAGCAUUUUAUUCAUCACUAAACUAGUAGAAUGACAUGACACGAAUUGGGUCGGGCCUGAAGUUCAAAGGACUGAGCCUGUUUAUGACUCAGACCUUUUCUUCUGGUUACAAGGUUGGGUUCAGGCUUUGCGAAGCCCGAGCCCAACCCAGCCCGUUACCAUCCCUCUGCAUGUUUAAAUUCAGCCCAGCUUAACAUCAAUUUUUAGGAAUGAUGGGAAAUUGGUAAAAUACAAGAUGACAGAAUAGCAUUGAAAAUCUCUUCGCAUGAAAUAAAGCAACAAUGAAAUAUUAGGCGCACAGUAUGGACUUCCACUCUUCUUUCUAUUCCAAAACAAAAAUAGCCAAACCAACUUCAGUUUAAUGGUAUGGCUAUGAUAUAAUGGCAUUGGCCAAACCAACUUCAGUGGACAUAGACUUUCGCUAGAUCCUCACGCUUUCUCUAAUUAUAAACAUAAGUAUAUAUAAGGAAUAUAAAGUAAAAAAAAUUAGUAAAAGAUUAAAAAAAUAUAAAAUCUUAUGCAAUUUACUUUGUAGUUUAUUAAAAUAUGCAUUUUUUUCUUUUAUCUUGUCUUAUAUUUUAUAUGGAAAAAUGAUCUAGUGAGCACUAGUGCCUACCAUGUGGUAAGCGCUAAUUACAUGGCAGAAUUAUGUGACUCCUUAUAAAUAGUAUUAAAAUGGUAGAUUUCCAUGACAGUGCUGCAUAACACUAUCAUCCAUUAGAUCAUUACUAUACAUAUAUGCAGAUUUAAGAUGUAAUAAGGGAUCAUGUACUUUAGUUUUGAGCCAUUGGAUUUGAAUUCAAUAUUUCAAUGACCUAUUAUUUUUUAUUUUAAAAUCUACACAUGAUAGGGUCAACUAAGUGCAGAUUUUAUAACCCAUUGGAUUUGAAGAGUGCAGGAACUUACAUUCUUCUCUCUUUCAUGCAUUAUUUCCUCUCAUGCAGCUUUACACUCUUUAGAUUUUCACUACUUCUGCUUAGUCGAAACGUGGCCAUUCGAUUUCCACCAGACUUUGUCAUACAUGGAUUCUGGCCAAUUAACUCUACCGGAUUGGGACAACCAUAAAGAAUAAUUCAAUGCCAAUAUUAAUGAAACUGAAUUUGUAUUCUUUAUUCCCUCUGUUUUUUCUUUUUCCUUUUUUUUAAAGUUUUAUUGGCCAAUAGUCUUUUAUUUCAUUUGUUAAUUUUUUUCUAUUUCGCUUAUUAUAUCAUUCUUAUUGCAUAUUUACAAUAGGUUGGAGAUCAAAUUAUGCUUAAGAUAUGAAAACCUACUAGCCAAAUCUGGGAAAUUAAACUUAUAUAUACAAUGUGUUUUUCGGCGCAGUCAGUGGGAAGGACAUGGCAGUGGCUAAACUUUAUUCGGAAAUUGGAUGGAUUAUAUUAGGAAUAUCAUUGUGUGGAUAUCAAUUUAUAUAUUUGUAUGUUGGCGUCCUCAUUGGACACAUCAUUGAGGUGGCGUUUAUUUUUUAACUUAAUGACUUAAAGUGACUUAACUUAAUUAAUUAAGUUAAUUAGAGGUGUUUGUAUUUAUAAUUUAACUAGAAAAUAGAACCGCGCUUCACGCGGUUUUGAAAAAAGAAUUUAGUAUUAUCAUUUUUUCUUACUUUACACUUGAUGAAACUGAUAAAAAAUAUGAAUUGAUUUUUUUUAAGAUGAGGCAGCCUUAUAAAAAAUAAAAAAAGCUAUUAGCUAGCAAUACAAAUAAAGAAGUAACGCAAGAUAAAAAAUAAAAUGAAAGAAUAUAUUAUAGAGUGAUUUUAUUCAUUCCAAUUGUGUGUGUACAAAACAAAAAGAUGAGCUCUCCUUUUAUAGUUACGUAAUCACUCCAUGAAAUUAAUGAAAAAUUAUGGAUCAUAAUUUCUUGUGAGAUAGUGGGAGUUCUAGGGAAGCUAAAGAUUGCUAAUGGGAGAUAGUGUGGAGACUAAGAGAUAUAUGUAAUGAACAUCUACAUUUAUUUUAAUCAAUUCAUAACACUCCCCUUGGAUGUUCAUUACAAAGAAUAUGCCUCAUUAAAAUCUUUACAUAAUUGUUAUUGUGUAAUAACAAUCAAAUUAAUUAUGAGAAGAUGAAAAGCCAAAUCUAAAAGAAAAUUUCUCUAUUUAGUAGAUAAUAGAGAAUAUACAAAGAUGAGAAAUUGUGAUGCCACAUCACCUCCUCAAGUCCCAGCUUUAUAUAUAUACUAGAAAAUAGAACCGCGCUUCACGCGACUUUGAAAAAAGAAUUUAGUAUUAUCCUUUUUUCUUACUUUACAUUUGAUGAAACUGAUAGAAAAUAUGAAUUGAUUUUUUUAAAGAUGAGGUAGCCUUAUAAAAAAUAAAAAUAAAAAGCUAUUAGCCAGCAAUACAAAUAAAGAAGCAACGCAAGACAAAGAAUAAAAUGAGAGAAUAUAUUAUAGAGUGAUUUUAUUCAUUCCAAUUGUGUGUGUACAAAACAAAAAGAUAAGCUCUCCUUUUAUAGUUACAUAAUCACUCCAUGAAAUUAAUGAAAAUUUAUGGAUCAUAAUUCUUUGUGAGAUAGUGGGAGUUAUAGGGAAGCUAAAUGUUGCUAAUAGGAGAUAGUGGGGAGACUAAGAGAUAUAUGUUAUGAACAUCUACAUUUAUUUUAAUAAAUUCAUAACACUUCCCCUUGGAUGUUCAUUGCAAAGAAUAUGUCUCAUUAAAAUCUUUACAUAAUUGUUAUUUUGUAAUAACAAUCAAAUUAAUUAUGAGAAGAUGAAAAGUCAAAUCAAAAAAAAAAAUCUCUAUUUAUUAGAUAAUAGAGAACAUACAAAGAAGCAAAAUGGUGAUGCCACAUCACCUCCUCAAAUCCUAGCUUUAUAUAUAUAUAUAUAUAUAUAUAGAUAUAUAGAUGAGACUUUUUAGAUAAUUUUGACUUAAUAAAAUAAGCCAAUUUUUUUGGCUUUUUACUUAAUAGAGAAAUUUGAAUUAAGUCAAUUACUUACUAAUGUAAAAAAUAUCCAUGUUUUAUAAUUUAUUUUUCAUGUUUAUCCCAAAACUCACCCAUAGACAUUUACCCCACAUAAAAAUAUCUCUGUUUUUUCUUUCUUAUAUUAUAUACAAUAAAUUUUAAAAUUUAUGGUAUUUUAUAUAUUAAAAUUCUAAAAAAUUAUGUAUUCACUUGAAUAUAGUUUUACUUAUAAAUGUUAAAAUAUUCUGGUAUUUAAUAUAUUAUUUAUUUGACAUUCAAAUUUAAUAAGGAUACAAAUGUAAAAGUACAUAUUUUCAGCUUUUUCAGUUGAAAAAAAAUAAACAACUUAAUACUUAUUUUCCGAGAUUCAGACGAAAAAACAAACAUAUUAUUCAGAUUCAGACAUUCAGAUCUAUUUAGAAUUCAGACUAAUUCAGGGUUAUUCAGAUUUCAGACAAAAAAACAAACGCCACCUGAGUCUUCAUCAAUAAUAUAAUACCAAUUUCAUUUAGAUUAUGCAAAGUGUAACAACAUGGGAUUGGAAAAAAAACAGAUAUAGGUAAAUUAGGGUUUUAUGCAUUAUAUGUAUAUGAAGUCCAGAUGAGUGUGUAGAGAGAUAUUUUAGCAUGAGGGAAACGCACAAUGCGAGAAGAUAUGAUGAAGUUGGGGUGAAUCAUAAUAGUGACACAAGAUCUGGGCAUUGCUUCAUAUAGGGACCAGAAGAUCAAAGUAAAUAAAGAUAAAUCAAUCUCUACAUGGAAGUUAUCAAUCAAAUUCAAACAAACAAUAUCUUAGGGACAUCAUACUAAUGUAGGAGUCAUUCUUGAAGAUCAAUAUGGAGUUGAUUUGAUUUAUCACGAUUAUAAAGAGAUAUUGAAGAGAUAAUAUUCAUAUAUUAUCAUGAAGAAUUUCUUAUAUAUCUGAAGGCUUAAAGGAUGAAGAUUUGAGAAGAUUGGACUUUUCAUACACAUAUUCAUCUAGCACUAUAUAAAGGCGAAUCAUUUACAUAUUUUGAUAGAAGCCACACACAUUCAUCUUUGUUAAGCCUCCUAGUGAGAUUUUGGAACUUAUGUGUGGCUUUAUGUCUUCUCUUUGUUAUUCUAUCUAUCAGACUUUUACGAGAAGAGGUUGUGUUUGUGUUCAAAUUUUACUUUUCUUUAGUGGUUUUGAUUACUUGGUGAUUUUUUCAACCAGUGUUUGCAGAAGCGAAGGUUGUUCGAGUAAUAGAAUGAUUCUACAUCAAAUGCUAUAACCUUAGAAUCAUUCUUUGAUUUGGGAGAUGUUGUUUAUGAUCUUUCUAGGAGAAGGUGAUGAUUUUCCAAAUAAAUCAUGCAAUUUAUUUAUUUAACCAACUCCAUACCUUAUUCGUUGAUGCGGAAACAAAUCGUCACGAAUCUACAAGAAUAAAAUAAGCUCCCUCCAAUCUCCAAAAACCAGGAACUAGCACGAGCAGAUCGCAACGAAUAGGAAUCGAUUGCUAGAAACUGGAACCUUCACGAGCAAAUCUCCUUCAUGAACAAGCCACCUUCACGAAUGGAUCAUCACGAGUUUAUGUCACUGAUGAUCGGAGGACAAUCACAUAUUUGGAAAAUCUCAUCAAUUCACGAAGCAAGAACCCACUGCCUAUUUCCCUUUUCUCUCACUCUCUUUUGGUGUUACUCUGAUUCUUAUGAUUAUUAUUGUGUGUGCUUUCACUCACCCAUGUAGUGUUUGUAUAGUACAAUAAGUGUAGUUUAAUCCAAAUCAACUUCCUAGAGUUAUUUGAUUAAACUACAUCUUAUGUGAUUAUGAUUAAGAUAAAAUACUAAUUUUAUCUUGUAUAAAUCCUAGAUAAAUUCUAAGUCUAUCUUAUCACUUAUGUUAGAUUAAUCCAUCCCAUUAUGGGCGUUAAAUCUAACAGAAAGGAUUGUGUGUUGAUAGUAUAAGAAUUCUACAUAGAGGUGACAUACCAUUGACUAGAAGUAUUGCUCGGUAGACGAAGCAAAACGAUGUGUGGUGUAAGUGAAGUAUUCACUUAGUGAGGUUACAACAAGGUAGUGGCAAUUAUUGAGAGGGAGUCUCAUUGUAUAAGGUUUCAAUAGUUUGUAAUCUCUUGAAUUUAGUAAAUUACUAGAUAUUUGAGCAUGGCUUCUUAGAUUUAGGGAUUUGAACACUGAACCGCAUAAAAAUCCUAAUGUAUGCUUUUUUUUUACAUACUUUAUUUUUAAGCAUUAAAUUUAUUUAAUUAAUUUUUAAUUGAAAUUGAUAAGGCUACUAAAAUUGGAUCUAUUAGAUUAUUUAUAAAUGGUUAUCCGUUUAAUCGUUUAUGAAAAAAUAUUCACACACUGAAUUGGCUAACCAAAAGGAUAUAAAGUAGAAUGGAACAAUAUACAACAACGCUGAUUAUAAGAACGCAAUAAAGAAGAUACAUGGUUAUAUUCACCUAGUUAGGUGCUUUUUUUUAAAAUGGCAUAUAUCUGCUAAAGAAAGUGCUUACAUGCGUCAAUGCUAAAAAACAAAAUCAUAUUUCUAACUUUAUGUUACAUAACUAGAUAAAAUAUUCAAAAAAAUAGAAAAAUAGAUUAAAAAAUAUGUGAAAAGGACCUUACAAUCUCUAAACAAUCUCUAUUUUUCAAAUAUAUAUUUUAUUUGUCCUAUUAUCCCAUCUUUGUUAACCAUGUCCCUAGCCUACAUUAUGUCCUAAUAAAAGUCCUUAUUGAUUUUAGGGACUAUAAUCUGAAGUAAAAGCUGAUAAUUGGAUUAAAAGAUGUGGUGAUGCAUAAAAAUGAAUACAAAUAAUAUUAUUGAUUUGACUAGUAGUUGCUUUGACUUAAGAUCAUAUUAUUUUUUAGCUAUGGGCAUUAUUCUUUCAUAUUAGUGAGAGUGUGCAAUAUUAUUUUCUCUCAAUUUACUAUUCCUUGGAGUGACUCUUUUUAUUGAUGUUUAUUUUCUUUUGAAAGUGUCACUUUUACUCAUGGGAUUUUGGAGUUUGACAUUUCAUUCUUGAAAGUGGUUUGAUUAAAUGUAACUUUAAUAAUUAUUCAUUUUGCAUGAGUUUACUUGACUGAAUUAUGUGAAUGGUUGAUGUGGGAUUAAUAUUUUUUAGGUCAAAGAUAAUACUCAUACUUUUAUUUGAUUGUUGUCAUCUGAUUAAAGAAGUAAAUAAAAUUGUCCUAAAAAAAUAAAUAAAAUAUUUCAAUUUGCAUUUGAAUUUCACUUGAUAAUAUCGCUUUAAUUGCUAGACACUAGCAAUAAGUUGAUUGGGGGAUAUGAUCAACACUUGAAAAUGUACAUUUAAUAAGGUUAAAACUAUUAUUUUUCCACUUAUAGUGUUGAUUAAUGCGCUCAUAACUUAUAAAUUUUCUUAAUGCUCCUCUAAUU